RNAcentral lists this ribosomal RNA (369 nucleotides) under uncultured organism. RNAcentral's name for it is "partial 16S ribosomal RNA". It matches the Rfam family "Bacterial small subunit ribosomal RNA", at positions 527 to 896 of the family's 1533-position model. The record is from RNAcentral.
AGAGAGUGCAAGCGUUAAUCAGAAUUACUGGGCGUAAAGCGCACGUAGGUGGAUAUUUAAGUCGGAUGUGAAAGCCCUGGGCUCAACCUAGGAACUGCAUUCGAUACUGGGUAUCUAGAGUAUGGUAGAGGGAAGUGGAAUUUCCGGUGUAGCGGUGAAAUGCGUAGAUAUCGGAAGGAACAUCAGUGGCGAAGGCGACUUCCUGGACCAAUACUGACACUCAGGUGCGAAAGCGUGGGGGGAGCAAACAGGAUUAGAGACCCUGGUAGUCCACGCCGUCAACGAUGAGAACUAGACGUUGGGGCUUUUAAGUCUUAGUGUCGAAGCUAACGCGCUAAGUUCUCCGCCUGGGAGUACGAUGCAAGAUUA